UUCACGACAUAACUUUCCCAAUUCCCCGAAAUGAAUUUCAUUCUAUAUACACAGUGAUGAAGAGCCCAUUUGCUCAUUACAUCAUCUUACAAAUGAAUCUGCAUAAAAGCAAAUGAAUCGUUCAAUCUCUUUUCUUACAUCAUGUUUCGCGUCUCACUCAUUCUCUUCCAAAAAUUUGUCUAAAUCUGAAAUCUGACAUUCAAAAUCAUGUUCGCCCAUCUCGUUGCAUCAUCUGAGAAUUAAGCUUUACCCUAUUUAGUAAAGGAAUUCUGUAAACUACUUGUCUUUCAGAGAGACAAUCAACACAGAAUAAAAUUGCCAGUAGUAGUUAAGAUGACCUCCUGUUCAUUGUAUUAUUUUGGCCGAAUAUUGACUGGUCGCAUCAUCUCAGGAGUCCUUCAUGUCGAAAAUUUGAGGAAGGAAAGGUAAAAAAACUUAUGAAGAAGAAAGGAACAUCCAUGGUUUUGGUUGAUGGUGCAGGGGCUGGUGAUAUAGUAUCUAUGACUGGGUAACUCCAUCAAUCGGCCCCACAGUGGCAAGUUUGGAGGCAAAUUACCCAACCAUUAAGCAUAUUAUUACCCCUCGAAUUGCUCUCACCACAACUGAACACUUGGCUUAUGAAUGUGGGAAGCAUGUUCUGGUUAUCCUAACAGAUAUGAGUUCCUAGGCAGAUGCUCUUUGUGAGGAAAAUGAUCCAACCAUUCAGUGUAUUAUUACCCCUCGAAUUGCUCUCACCACAGCUGAAUACUUGGCUUGUGAUUGCGGGAAGCAUGUUCUGGUCCCAACAGAUAUGAGUUCUUAUGCAGGAGGUAAUGAGAUGCUCUGUCCUAUUAUUUGUUCCGAGAAGAGCAUUGUCUUUUCCUUCAUAAGGUUGCAGUCGCCUAGCCACAUCUAGGGGCCUUAGUAUUAAGUUGUUUGCUUUAGUUAUUGACAUUCACAAUUUCUUAAGAUCGAGUAUUCUUGGAUUGUUGCACAAUAUCAUCAAAAGCCAAUCUCUACUUUUUAAAUAUUCUAGCACAGUUGCGCCAACUGGACAGAAUCCAGUAAUUUCAAAAAGUUGGCAUUCUUCCAAGUGCAUCUGGAUAUAUCGCAUCAGAUUUCUUAUGUCCUAAGCUUUUACAGGUCCUGUAUCUCCUGGAAAAUUAGUUCAUCCACAAUUCAUGGUACUAAAUCGAACAAUUUCCUCACCCAUGGAGGUUGCUGUUCCGAUUCUUUGAUGCGACGUUGUUGUUGGGAUAACCGUUUCCUUUCCUGUUAAUUCAACCAAGUUAGUCAUCAGAGUCUUUGAAAAUUAUCAUAUACUUGAUAAAUUGGCUUAAAAUAGACUAUAUGAAUUUUUACUUUAGUUCUCUGUAUGACAAAUUGGUUAACGAAAGCUUCUUUUUGCUGACAGUUUGCAUGUUCUAUUUUUUUCCUCUAAUUCACGUUGUAACUUCUCCUCUUUCUCUCUUUGUCUCCGUGCCUGUUGUGCUUUCUGCGCCUGUUGUAAAAAUUAUCGAAACAAAUUACUGAAUGACAGUAGUGAUUUACCAA
Papaver somniferum (opium poppy) is the source of this 1533-nucleotide long non-coding RNA. RefSeq lists it as uncharacterized. The transcript has 7 exons. NCBI's taxonomy places the organism in Eukaryota, Viridiplantae, Streptophyta, Magnoliopsida, Ranunculales, Papaveraceae. The record is from RefSeq and is a predicted model, not a curated record.